AACGAACGCUGGCGGCAUGCCUAACACAUGCGAGUCGAACGAGACCUUCGGGUCUAGUGGCGCACGGGUGCGUAACGCGUGGGAACCUGCCCUUAGGUUCGGAAUAACUCCCCGAAAGGGGUGCUAAUACCGGAUAAUGUCUUCGGACCAAAGAUUUAUCGCCUUUGGAUGGGCCCGCGUUGGAUUAGCUAGUUGGUAGGGUAAAAGCCUACCAAGGCGACGAUCCAUAGCUGGUCUGAGAGGAUGAUCAGCCACACUGGGACUGAGACACGGCCCAGACUCCUACGGGAGGCAGCAGUGGGGAAUAUUGGACAAUGGGCGAAAGCCUGAUCCAGCAAUGCCGCAUGAGUGAUGAAGGCCUUAGGGUUGUAAAGCUCUUUUACCCGGGAUGAUAAUGACAGUACCGGGAGAAUAAGCUCCGGCUAACUCCGUG
This 433-nucleotide ribosomal RNA is filed under the name uncultured bacterium. RNAcentral's name for it is "partial 16S ribosomal RNA". It matches the Rfam family "Bacterial small subunit ribosomal RNA", at positions 29 to 507 of the family's 1533-position model. The record is from RNAcentral.